UAUUUGAGAGUUUGAUCCUGGCUCAGGAUGAACGCUGGCGGCGUGCCUAACACAUGCAAGUUGAGCGAUUUACUUCGGUAAAGAGCGGCGGACGGGUGAGUAACGCGUGGGUAACCUACCCUGUACAAACGGAUAACAUACCGAAAGGUAUGCUAAUACGGGAUAAUAUGUUUGAGAGGCAUCUCUUGAAUAUCAAAGGUGAGCCAGUACAGGAUGGACCCGCGUCUGAUUAGCUAGUUGGUAAGGUAACGGCUU
Molecule: ribosomal RNA, 255 nt
Filed under: Clostridioides difficile
Lineage: Bacteria; Bacillati; Bacillota; Clostridia; Peptostreptococcales; Peptostreptococcaceae
Description: partial 16S ribosomal RNA
Rfam family: Bacterial small subunit ribosomal RNA
Source: RNAcentral